AUCUUGCUCCUUGCAACUCAAUAUCCUCGCAGAAGCGGACAGCCAAACAUUGAGAAGGAGUAGCUGGGGGAAAAUCUUCAGCUGGCAUUGCAAACGGACGGAUCAUCGUAUCAAAUUUGUCUAAGGUCAAUUAGAAUCUUGCCCAACAAACGGCGCGCUAUCUGCAGAAAUGGACAGAAGAGAUGGACUGUGAUUAUUUGACCAGAAAACAGAAGGGGCAAAAAACCUAGACUCUAGUGGUAGCAGUAGAACUUUAUUUUCAUCAUCCUUCCUGAGUAAUCUUAUUUACGAAAAAUACUACAUAAUGUACAAUUGAACAUACAAGAUAAGACUCAUAGGAAAAUCCCAAGUUACUGAAUUAAUUUACAAGCCUUGUACCUUUGAACCUAUUUUGAGUUUUUGUUUUGGAUUUA
Molecule: long non-coding RNA, 413 nt
Organism: Brachypodium distachyon (stiff brome)
Lineage: Eukaryota; Viridiplantae; Streptophyta; Magnoliopsida; Poales; Poaceae
Exons: 2
Source: RefSeq, a predicted model, not a curated record